This 882-nucleotide ribosomal RNA is filed under the name Rickenella fibula. Its description in RNAcentral is "LSU rRNA". It matches the Rfam family "Eukaryotic large subunit ribosomal RNA", at positions 72 to 941 of the family's 3401-position model. Lineage: Eukaryota; Fungi; Basidiomycota; Agaricomycetes; Hymenochaetales; Rickenellaceae. The record is from RNAcentral.
UGAUUCCCCUAGUAACUGCGAGUGAAGCGGGAAAAGCUCAAAUUUAAAAUCUGGCGGUCAUGCCGUCCGAGUUGUAAUCUGGAGAAGCGUUUUCCGUGUUGGACCGUGUACAAGUCUCUUGGAACAGAGCGUCAUAGAGGGUGAGAAUCCCGUCUUUGACACGGACUACCAAUGCUUUGUGAUACGCUCUCAAAGAGUCGAGUUGUUUGGGAAUGCAGCUCAAAAUGGGUGGUAAAUGCCAUCUAAAGCUAAAUAUUGGCGAGAGACCGAUAGCGAACAAGUACCGUGAGGGAAAGAUGAAAAGCACUUUGGAAAGAGAGUUAAACAGUACGUGAAAUUGUUGAAAGGGAAACGCUUGAAGUCAGUCGCGUUGUCUGGGACUCAGCCUUGCUUCUGCAUGGUGUAUUUCCUGGUUAACGGGCCAACAUCGAUUUUGGUCGGUGGAUAAAGUCAAGAGGAAUGUGGCACCUUCGGGUGUGUUAUAGCCUCUUGUCGGAUGCAUCGACUGGGAUCGAGGAUCGCAGCACGCCUUUUUGGCCGGGGUUCGCCCACGUAACGUGCUUAGGAUGUUGGCAUAAUGGCUUUAAUCGACCCGUCUUGAAACACGGACCAAGGAGUCUAACAUGCCCGCGAGUGUUAGGGUGGAAAACCCUUGCGCGUAAUGAAAGUGAAAGUUGGGACCUCUGUCAUGGGGGGCACCGACGCCCGGCCUUGAACUUCUGUGACGGCGCCGCGGUAGAGCGUGUAUGUUGGGACCCGAAAGAUGGUGAACUAUGCCUGAAUAGGGCGAAGCCAGAGGAAACUCUGGUGGAGGCUCGUAGCGAUUCUGACGUGCAAAUCGAUCGUCAAAUUUGGGUAUAGGGGCGAAAGACUAAUCGAACC